UAUACACAAAAAAGAGUUUUAUGUGAAAUUAAUAAAAUCGAAAAAUAAAGCAUCAAAUAACAAAAAAAUGCAUAUAUAUUAUGUUUAUAUAUUUGUUUAUUUUAGGUCAAACUCCCAAAAAACAGCCUACUACAAAUAAUCCAUCAUUACCAAAAAAAGAAAAUAAACCUGCAUCAAAAGUUAUUUUAUGUCUUUCAGAAUUAAGAGACAUAAAUAUGCCUGAAGUAGAAAAUGGAGAUAUCUAUUUUGUAUGUACAACAGUAUUUGACAACGAUGAUGUAAAACAGUCAAUGGAAACAUCAAAUUAUAAUUCAGAAAUGAUUAAAGGGCAAUUUUUAUUUCAAAAAUAUGUAGCCGAAUUUAGUGAAGAGAUUGUUUUAAACAUACCCGAUAAUUCUAAUUUUGUACGAUGUUAUGUGUCAGCACUCACAGUUAAAGAAGAAGAUGGAAAGAGAACCAUCAAGUUGGAAGGAAUAGGAUAUACUGAUCCUUUUAUAACAAAAUUUUGUCAAGUAUUUCCUUAUGCAAAAUGUAAACUAAACACAGCUGUCGGUGCCAAUGAGACACAAGGUUUAAAUUUCUACGCUUUUUUUUUUUUUAUAUUUCAUAUAUAUAUCUCAACUAUAGCAAAACAAACAAAUAAUAUAACGCUUUGUUAAUAUUUUAUUUAUUUAUAUGUUUAUAU
Molecule: long non-coding RNA, 685 nt
Filed under: Piliocolobus tephrosceles (Ugandan red Colobus)
Lineage: Eukaryota; Metazoa; Chordata; Mammalia; Primates; Cercopithecidae
Description: lncRNA (ENSPTEG00000019016.1)
Source: RNAcentral